RNAcentral lists this ribosomal RNA (497 nucleotides) under uncultured bacterium. RNAcentral's name for it is "partial 16S ribosomal RNA". It matches the Rfam family "Bacterial small subunit ribosomal RNA", at positions 28 to 507 of the family's 1533-position model. The record is from RNAcentral.
GAUGAACGCUGGCGGCGUGCCUAAUACAUGCAAGUCGAGCGAACGGACGAGAAGCUUGCUUCUCUGAUGUUAGCGGCGGACGGGUGAGUAACACGUGGAUAACCUACCUAUAAGACUGGGAUAACUUCGGGAAACCGUAGCUAAUACCGGAUAAUAUUUUGAACCGCAUGGUUCAAUAGUGAAAGACGGUCUUGCUGUCACUUAUAGAUGGAUCCGCGCUGCAUUAGCUAGUUGGUAAGGUAACGGCUUACCAAGGCAACGAUGCAUAGCCGACCUGAGAGGGUGGUCGGCCACACUGGAACUGAGACACGGUCCAGACUCCUACGGGAGGCAGCAGUAGGGAAUCUUCCGCAAUGGGCGAAAGCCUGACGGAGCAACGCCGAGUGAGUGAUGAAGGUCUUCGGAUCGUAAAACUCUGUUAUUAGGGAAGAACAUAUGUGUAAGUAACUGUGCACAUCUUGACGGUACCUAAUCAGAAAGCCACGGCUAACUACGUG